Molecule: ribosomal RNA, 129 nt
Organism: Mustela putorius furo (domestic ferret)
Lineage: Eukaryota; Metazoa; Chordata; Mammalia; Carnivora; Mustelidae
Source: Ensembl
UUCUACGGCCAUACCACCCUGAAUGAGCCCGAUCUCAUCUGAUCUCGGAAGCUAAGCAGGGUCUGGCCUGGUUAGUACUUGGAUGGGGGACACAGUCCCUUCUAAAUACAAAGGCAAGAAUCGAAAGAA